RNAcentral lists this long non-coding RNA (462 nucleotides) under Anas platyrhynchos platyrhynchos (common mallard). Its description in RNAcentral is "lncRNA (ENSAPLG00000025737.1)". Lineage: Eukaryota; Metazoa; Chordata; Aves; Anseriformes; Anatidae. The record is from RNAcentral.
AUGCCCGUCCUCAGAGCAACAUCUUCUUCAGCCCCCUUGCAACUCGGGGAUAAUCCCUCACCUGACAGCUGCCUGCCAUGGUGCAGGGCCCCCCUUGGCGUGCUCGCGGCUCAUCCCUGGCGGUGCAGGCGGGCGCGUGAUCUUUGCUCCCGGUGGGAACGCUUUCAUCAGGGUGCGCGGCCCAUUAGGCACCAUGAAGGCAAGCAGCGUGGAGAUGUGAUGUGGGGGUCCUGUUGGGGCAGCGUCAGACCCGGCCCUAUGUUUGUGGGGUGCUUGGCCCCACCAGGAGCAGCACCCGGUGCCGCAGUCGGAUCCCAGCAGGGUUUGUGGUCGCUGCGAGUGCCCAUGGCAGCACAGCCGCCUGGACACACGCCCAAGGGCUACUGCGAGGACAUUUUGAAGAUGGCAAGGACCGCCCCGCCAUGGAUGUGGUUUAGCUCAACAAAGCCCGCUUUAAAAAAA